Molecule: long non-coding RNA, 840 nt
Organism: Juglans microcarpa x Juglans regia
Lineage: Eukaryota; Viridiplantae; Streptophyta; Magnoliopsida; Fagales; Juglandaceae
Exons: 2
Source: RefSeq, a predicted model, not a curated record
GUCUAGGAUAGAGCUACUCCAAAGCUAUGGAUUUGAGCACAUGGGCACGCUGAAUAAUCCAGAAUAAGCUGGAUUGCUUAAAAACAGGAGACAAAAAGCAACUGGCUGACAAUCAAACGUGCUCUGCAACUUGUGGUUGAUGAGACUAUAAUACGGCCAAGUAUUUUUCCUUUUGACCAUAGCUUUUGGCGCUGCUCCCUAAUCGAGGGUUUGGUUUCUUAGCCUGCAUGUGUUACUUUUAUCACCGGACUUGUGCCUUUUGGUAUAUAGUCCCAGAUUUCAAUGCAUGACACAAAUACUGAGUCACUCACAUUAUUUAGGAAAACACUACUCCCACCGACAAAAUCCACAGUUUUAUUUUAUUUUAUUUGUAAGUAUUUUUUAAUUUGUUCGUUUGUUUUUUUUUUUUUAAAAAAGUUUUGAGUUAAAAAAAAAAAAAAAAAUGGACAUUCGGUGGGAGUAGCAGCACCCCAUUAUUUGUUCAACAUUCAGAGAUAUUCAUUAUGUGCCAUGUGGAACUAUAUAGCCUCGUAUUUCUCAAUGUGCAAAACCAAAUAUUGGGGGAAUGAUGUGCACUGGACGGCAUCAUCGACAUUUUAUAAGAAUUAGCUACUUCAGCAGUUGAGAACAUACUCGGUGGGCAGAAGCAUGUUCUGAUUGAAAUAUGGUCAGUCAAAAUUUGGCUCAAUACUUGUUCCUUUAUUUCUUUUAAAUACUUCCAUGUUGAAUUUCACAUUCAUUUUGGAGAUGUUUGUUUCUCUCAGCUGUGUGUGAUGAUGAAAUGUAGCUAUGACUGAUCUUUCUUUAGCCUGUUUUACAAUGCAUAUCCAUUAACUCUCU